GAUGAACGCUAGCUACAGGCUUAACACAUGCAAGUCGAGGGGUAACGAGAGGAAAGCUUGCUUUCCUUGUCGACGACCGGCGCACGGGUGAGUAACGCGUAUCCAACCUGCCCCCAACUAGGGAAUAACCUUGCGACAGUAAGACUAAUACCCUAUAUUUUCCGCAGAUGUCAUCUGACGAGGAAUAAAGAUUUAUCGGUUGUGGAUGGGGAUGCGUCUGAUUAGCUUGUUGGAGGGGUAACGGCCCACCAAGGCAACGAUCAGUAGGGGUUCUGCGAGGAAGGUCCCCCACAUUGGAACUGAGACACGGUCCAAACUCCUACGGGAGGCAGCAGUGAGGAAUAUUGGUCAAUGGGCGGAAGCCUGAACCAGCCAAGUAGCGUGCAGGAUGACGGCCCUAUGGGUUGUAAACUGCUUUUAUACAGGAAUAAAGUUAGCCACGUGUGGUUAUUUGUAGGUACUGUAAGAAUAAGGACCGGCUAAUUCCGUGCCAGCCGCCGCCGUAA
This 506-nucleotide ribosomal RNA is filed under the name uncultured bacterium. Its description in RNAcentral is "partial 16S ribosomal RNA". It matches the Rfam family "Bacterial small subunit ribosomal RNA", at positions 28 to 523 of the family's 1533-position model. The record is from RNAcentral.